Molecule: ribosomal RNA, 465 nt
Filed under: uncultured bacterium
Lineage: Bacteria
Description: partial 16S ribosomal RNA
Rfam family: Bacterial small subunit ribosomal RNA
Source: RNAcentral
CCUACGGGGGGCAGCAGUAGGGAAUCUUGCACAAUGGGCGAAAGCCUGAUGGAGCAACGCCGCGUGGGUGAAGAAGGUCUUCGGAGCGUAAAACCCUGUUGGUAGAGAAGAAAGUGCGUGAGAGUAACUGUUCACGUGUAGACGGUAUAGAACAAGAAAGCGACGGCUAACUACGAGCCAGCAGCCGCGGUAAUACGUAGGGGGCAGGCGUUAUCCGGAUUGAGUGGGCGUAACGGGAACGCAGGCGGUCUGUUAAUUCGGAAUUGAAAGCCUUCGGCGGAACCGGCGUAGUGCAUUUGAAACUGGGGGUCUUGCGUGCAGGAGAGGCGUGUGGAACUCCCUGUGUAGCGGUGAAAUGCGUCGAUAUCUGGCAGCACCCCAGUGGCGAAGGCGGCUCUCUGGUCUUUAACUGACGCUGAGGUUCGAAAGCGUGGGUAUCAAACAGGAUUAGAUACCCUUGUAGUC